GUUUGAAGUUUCAUGUUGCAGGGCAUGCUUUGGAACGACUAAAUACUGUCAUGCAUGGCUGAGAAAUGUGGUAUGAUCUAUGAAUCAUUUCUAAAUCAAGAUCUGCAUACUGGUUAUUGGAUCUUUCCAUAUUACAUAUAUAGUCAAAUAUGUACCUGUGGCAUAUUGGUGUCACACAGUGUCUCAUAACAAAAUAUUUAUUUUUUUGUCCAGCCGUGCAGCAACCCUGAUUGCCUAUAUUUGCAUGAGAUUGGUUCACAAGAGGAUAGUUUUACCAAGGACGAAAUAAUAUCCGCUUACACAAGGUAUUUUUAUAUCAGUAUGCAGCCUAUUAUAUAUUUUCCUUUUUCAUUUUAUUCUUUUUAUAUCUGUGAUGAAAGUAGUAAAUGCUUCAUGUUGCCCUUUGGACUCAACCUAGUAAAUACUUAAUGUUGCGCUUUAGACUCAACCUUUAAGUCUUUUAUUCAGCAUCUGCUUGUUGCUUGACAAUCAAACAUCGUGCAGUUAUCGAUUUAGUUGAUUUAUUUAUGGAAGAUUCCGCUUCCUAUGAAGCCAAUUAUGGCGUUUUUUAGUUAAAAAGAGCUGUUCCAGUGCUUCGAGAAGUUUCUUUGUUGUCUUAAAUGGGUGACUUUUCUUGGAGCUUAUCUUCAAGUUGGAAACUUGAUUUCUCUGUGCGGAUGAAAAUUAUGGUUUUGCCUUCUCUAUUUGGAGUUUCUUAAUAUUGUUGGGGUGUGUUGUUUUGUUAAUCUAAGGUGGAUGUUUGACAAAGCUUUUAAGUGCUUAUAAACUAGAUAAACAUAAUUUUAACCACACAUUCCUUAGGAUCCACAACUUUUAUUUAGUUUUAAACCAUACGUUCUUUGGGACCACUGCUUAUAAGCACUUGAAAGCUUAGCCAAGCAAGCAUUUAAUCUGGAGUUUUUAAUUCUUUUUUUUUCUUGUAGCAGGGGGAGGGAGGGGGUGUUUAUGUUAUUUUUAUAUGAACAAGUAUAUGAAAGAGAUGCAUUCUGUCAUAUUAGUUUUGUGGUUUCUUUUUCUCCUAGUCAAUUUUUUUUUUUUGAUUGUUGAAACUUGUGAUUGCAGUGGUUUCCUCUAUAUCUACAAUUGUAGAAUAAUUAUCAUGUUCAGCUUUUUGUUGGUUAUUGUGACAAUUCGGGAAGUAGAUUAACUUAGCUAACGAUUUUAAAGUAGAGUACAACAAAUUACUGGUGCUACAAAUAGUGUGCAACGGCAUUCAGGAAAUGUGUUACCAGCACCAGCAGAUGAUUACUGCAUUAGUAGCCAUUUUUCUUCCGGGAAGCCUUCAAGUAAAACUGCUACACAGACAAAUGUAAGUUUUUCUUUACCCCUAACCACAUUUUUUUUUUCACAAACUUUCACUAUGUGAAGAGUCUUUAAAAUACUGUGGAAAUAUAAUAGUAGUUGUUUGUCAGACAAACAUCUGUCACAAAACUAUUAUACGGUACUGCGCUGUGGAAUUUUAGCUUGUAUUACAUGUGGCAAUUGUGAUCUUGGCAGUGAUUACUGCUGAAAUAUCUGGAUUGCUUUUUUCUUGCUAACAAAAAUUUUCUCGCCGUGCAGAAUUCGGUGAACAGCAUUAGAGUUUCUCCACCAAAUAGCAGCUCUGGUAGAUCUGCUGCUCUACCUGCUGGAGCCUCAUGGUAUGUCAAUUACUGAUCUGUUGUCUCUUUCAAUUUGUAUGUCACUAUUUCUCAGCAUUCAAUUUGCCUUCACUAGGGGGAUUCGUUCUUCCAAUAAUCAACCCUUGUCCACAAGUAUACCAUGUUCCAAUGGACUACAUAAGCAUAAACCUAAUGCCUGUAAUGGACCGGUGACGUUUUCUACUGCAGUUGCUAGCUCUAGUCAGGUUUCUUCGUUGCAUAGUGACUCUGGAAAGAAGCUGGUUCCUAGUGAAGAAAGCAACACAAGUCUAGACAAAAGCAAACUGGAAGCCAUAGAACAUGUGAAAAAGGAUUCUAGCACAGAUAGCAGAACUAUUUUGAGUAGUUCCUCCUCGUCUGUACUUUCUGUUACUUCAACAAUAAACAGGCAACACGGUCAACCUACAUCCAAGGACAAAGAUGGAGAUGCCAGCAUGCUACCCUGUACCAACAACUCAGUUAAUCAAUACCUAAAGUCUUGUGGUCCUGAUUCAGACACAGAUUCCAAUGAUUCUGCAGAUGGAAAAAUUGAAAAUUUAUGCUCUGAAAUUUUUUCUAUGAGCAUUGAUAGACAUCAACAGUUGCAGAAUGGCUAUGCUGAGCACAUUGGAGAACCAUUGAUAUCGCAGACCUCUGGAAUAUCUGCAUUACCAGUUGAUGAGGAUUAUGCCUCAAAUCGUCUCUCUCCGUUGAAAUUGGAAACACACAUGCAAGUCUCGCAAGUUGACUCGCUUCAGAUGGAAGAUAAUCUAUUAUCUUUUGAUAAACAAAGACUCAAGGAUCCAGAGUUUGCUUCUAGCAGAAACAGUAUACCAGAUUCUUCUCACUCUACUCAUCUUUCAAGACAUUCUAAUAUUCAUUCUCCAACACAAAAUAAUUCUGACGCUUCAGUCAGGGUCAAUGUUGAUAGGCAAAUUGUACAUACAAAAGACAAUUUGAUAGUAUCAGCUUCUAGUAAUUCUGUUAUGUCAAAUAAACAUCCUGACAAUGAAUUCAGUAGUUCUUCUGAUCCAGUGAAUGAUGUUGAACAUAUUUAUUUGUUUCCAAUUAAUAAGGAUAAAAAUUCAGUUCUGGGAAGAUUCAAAGGUGAAGCAGCCUGUCACAGUCAUCCUGCUGCUGUUGAUACGGGGGAAAGCAGCAUAAUAUCAGAUAUUUUGUCGAUGGACUCUUAUUCAUGGGAUGACUCGAUACGUUCACCUCAGAACCUGGCAAAAUUGUUUGGUGAAACUGAUGAACGACAAGGGCCUUUCGGAGUACCUAGUUCGCGGAAAAUCCAGAAUAGCAAUCAAUCGAGGUUUUCUUUUGCUAGAGAGGAGGAACGUAUGAACCGAGCAUCUGACUUUGGACUAGCUAUCAAUUAUGUUGAACAAUCUCUUAAGGACCGCCCAUUUGGCAAUGAUUUCACAAACAGCAACAGCUUUCAUCUUGAAAAGUUUGGUUCUCACAAUAGGCUAUCUUUAUUUAAUGGUGUGGAGUCAGAUAAUUUUGCCAGCAGUCAUUCUUACAUCUCUUCUAACAAGGUUCCUGGUGAGUUGCGAUUUAUACGAAUUUCAAUGAAGUUUAUUCAUAGUUUGUUGUUGACUUGGCGGGGUUGUAAGUUUCUUUUUAUUUCUCGGAUAUAUUAGUAACCUUGUCAUGGAAAUUGACACUUGCGAAGUAUACAUGUUCAAUUUAGUUCUUUCUUGAUCAAAAUAUUCUUGUGCCUCAUGAGAAACCUAGGGAUAUUUUCAAUUUGUGUUUUCCAUCUGAUGGAAUUUAUUCUUAUGUAGCUUUCUAUUUUUCUCUCUCAAAACAUUUUUUCUGGGUGCCUUUGAACAGUUUCAAGAUCUCAAGUUUCUGCCCCCCCGGGUUUCUCAGUGCCUAGUAGGGUACCACCUCCCGGUUUUAUUUCUCACGAGAAGACAGGGCGGAUAUUCGACCCACACUCUGGUCCGUUAAUUUAUGCUAGGCACUUAAUAUUUUCGGACUUUUACUUCAUGUUAAAAAUCUUGUGUUUGGUUUUGAAUUAUCAUUUUAUUCUGUCUUGUGCAGGAAAUUAUAUGCCCGAUGCUUCGCUUUUGCCAAGAAAUCAGUAUCAGGCAUCCCCAAGUGGUGAUUCUAUUAGUAAUGCCGAAAUUGAGUUUAUGGAUCCUGCAAUUUUGGCAGUUGGCAAAGGGAUACUUCCUGGUAGCCUAAACAGCUCAGGCUUGGGUGCAAGAUUAAGUUAUUCUCCGCAGUAUAGUACGCUUGAAGAAUUAAGAUUCCAGUCCUUGUUACAAAGAUCAGUUCCUACUCAUCAAAACCAGAGAUUUACAGACCCGGGUGACAGUUAUUCUCCCCUUGGCGAUGCUUAUGGAGUUCCUUCUAGGGUGCUAGAGCAAACCCUAACCAACAACCUGUCCCCAUUUUCCCAGUUCACUCUUCCUCAGCCUAGAAAUGCUGUAACAUCCAAUGGCCAAUGGGAUGGGUGGAAUACGGUGCAGGGUGAGAAUGCUUUAGGUAUGGCAGAACUACUCAGAAAUGAGAGAUUGGGACUUCCUAAGUACUACAAUGGUUAUGAAGAUUCAAAUACCCGCUUGCCAAAUUCUGGAAACCUAUAUAAUCGGGCUAAUGGGAUUUAAAUUUGGUUGGAGACUUAUAUGGCACUGUUGGUACUGAUAGUGUCAAUGGUAAAAUAGGAAAAAUCUUGUGCGAAUUAGAGAAUGCCUGCUUUAAGGACUUCAAUGUUUGGCAAUCGGAUGACCUGAUCACUUGCAUUGACUAAACGGACCUAGGCAUGGAAUGCCCGAAAUAUUUGUGUUCGAGGACAUUAGAGUGAUUCACGAGUAGUCUGAUGGCACUGCUUUUAAGUUGGUGGAGGAUCAAGCCCUUUCAACAGGGAGUCCCAAACCAACAGGUAAAAUAUUGGCUCUCUUUAAUAUGGUUUAUGUUGUUGAUUCGUGAACGAGGCUGUUGUGCAUGUAUAUCACGGGAAAUAAUAAAUGGAGUAGAGUAUUAAAAAAGUAGAUUAGAGGCUUAAUGGUCACUCAUGUAUGUCAUUAGAAAGAUGAAUGUUACUAAUCUAGUUCAGAAAAGAAAGAACAGUGAGCUUGUUGUACCAUCAGACACUUCUUUCCGUAAAACAAACUUCUGUAUUAGACUCAGAUUUCUCACUAACUGUUUUUCCCCCCUUCGUCCUCUUCGUAUCUUUCGGCUCUUGGUAAGAUGAAAGAAUCGUUUUGAAGAAGAUACAAACUUUGCGAUCCUAAUCCUUUUUAUACUUGAAAAACACAAAGUAACUUCACCUUUCCCUCGUCCUAUUGUACAUCUCAAUUUCCAUGGAACUUACGGAAUAAUGGAGUUUUGAGAUGUUAAUCUGGACAUGAAUAGACUGCUACUGCUACUACUAUUAUUAUUUGCACACUGCUCAUUUUGUUCAUAGCCUUUCACCCUCAUAUUUUCAGGUAAAGGGUGCUUGAGAUUCAGGCCUAAUGUGAUGGUCAUGCAAGCAAUGUUGUGCACGAUGAAAUCAGCUUGUGAUCUUUUCUUUCGUAAUGCUAAAGCUUGUUAGUUUGUUUGAAGUUGUUCUACAGAGGUGAUCGAAAAUACUUUCUUUCACAGUGGUGAAAAUUGAUUUGUGUGUAGGCAAAAAUUCGAAAAUGGGAAGUUUAUAGUUUUGUUUUUGCUUAUUUACUUGAGAGUAUGAUCGAGAUCGUUUUCACAAAAUUCAAUGAAUUCACAUGCUGGUGAAAAAUCUGUAGCUGAAUCAACGUGGAAAUAGUGAAAUGGACGAGUACCAAAAAAUGGUUGGAGGAAAAUAUGUAAUUAUAAAAUGCCAUAAUAAAGCGUGUUUUUGAGAAUGCAG
RNAcentral lists this long non-coding RNA (5484 nucleotides) under Olea europaea subsp. europaea. The record is from RNAcentral. Lineage: Eukaryota; Viridiplantae; Streptophyta; Magnoliopsida; Lamiales; Oleaceae.